RNAcentral lists this ribosomal RNA (406 nucleotides) under uncultured bacterium. RNAcentral's name for it is "partial 16S ribosomal RNA". It matches the Rfam family "Bacterial small subunit ribosomal RNA", at positions 29 to 526 of the family's 1533-position model. The record is from RNAcentral.
AAUGAACGCUGGCGGCAGGCCUAACACAUGCAAGUCGAACGAGUGGCGGACGGGAGAGUAAUGUCUGGGAAACUGCCUGAUGGAGGGGGAUAACUACUGGAAACGGUAGCUAAUACCGCAUACCAUCGGAUGUGCCCAGAUGGGAUUAGCUGGUAGGUGGGGUAAAGGCACACCUAGGCGACGGUCCCUAGCUGGUCGGAGCGGAUGACCAGCCACACUGGAACGGAGACACGGUCCAGACUCCUACGUGAGGCAGCGGUGGGGAAUGUUGGACAAGGGGGGCAGGCCUGAUGCGGCCAUGCCGCGUGGAUGAGGAGGUCAUGCGGGUUGUAAAGUACUUUCAGCUGGAAGGCGUUACCCGCAGAAGAAGCACCGGCUAACUCCGUGCCAGCAGCCGCGGUAAUUC